AACGAACGCUGGCGGCGUGCCUAACACACGCAAGUCGAGCGAGAAAGGGGAGCAAUCCCUGAGUAAAGCGGCAAACGGGUGAGUAACACGUGGGCAACCUGCCCUCGAGUGGGGAAUAACAUCUCGAAAGAGGUGCUAAUACCGCGUAGCAUCCGGACUUCCUUGGAGGUCCGGAUCAAAGGUAGGGAUCUUCGGACCUGCCGCUCGAGGAGGGGCCCGCGCCUGAUUAGCUAGUUGGNGGGGUAACGGCCUACCAAGGCGACGAUCAGUAGCCGGCCUGAGAGGGUGACCGGCCACACUGGAACUGAGACACGGUCCAGACUCCUACGGGAGGCAGCAGUGAGGAAUUUUGGACAAUGGGCGCAAGCCUGAUCCAGCAACGCCGCGUGGACGAUGAGGGUCUUCGGAUCGUAAAGUCCUGUCGAGUGGGAAGAAGU
This 437-nucleotide ribosomal RNA is filed under the name uncultured bacterium. Its description in RNAcentral is "bacterial SSU rRNA". It matches the Rfam family "Bacterial small subunit ribosomal RNA", at positions 29 to 451 of the family's 1533-position model. The record is from RNAcentral.